RNAcentral lists this long non-coding RNA (738 nucleotides) under Capra hircus (goat). Its description in RNAcentral is "lncRNA (ENSCHIG00010013277.1)". The record is from RNAcentral. Lineage: Eukaryota; Metazoa; Chordata; Mammalia; Artiodactyla; Bovidae.
CACUGUAGCCAGGAGCGGGCUUUGUCCUGUCUGGGGAAGAAAGAGCCGGUGUUUAUCCUUCACGCACUCAUCCGCGAGAUCACUGCUCCAUCCUGACCCAGUCUGAGUCCUGGACAGCCCCUCUGGCCCCUGUUCCGGCCGAGGCGGAGGGGACACUGAGAAGCGGGCGGCGGGCAGGAGAGGCGGCCCGGCACCCCUGAGGAUGCCCCGGGUGUUUGGGGGCUGGGGAUAAAAGGCCGUUCCCGCCAGCCUUCCCGCAGUCUCAGGAAGGACCCCGUCACAGGUGCACAGCCCCCGCGUAUCUGUUCAGCGUCCUGCUUCCGCACCCUCUCGUCCCUCCAUCCUACGCUUAAUAAAAGAGCAUGCUUGAUAUCAUCACCUGAAGUCUGUCUUGUUCCUUUAAAUGUUUGCUUCAGUUUUGUGUUUUGCUUUUUUGUUUUGUGUGUGUGUGUGUUUUUUUUUUUUUUUUAGAAAAGCAAUCUAGAGGAAAAAAUAAAGCGCUUCUUGUAGACGCCAGGAAAACACCAUUCGCGUGUCUUCUCUGAGUCUGUUUUGUUUUUGUGCUUUGUGGCUGUCCGUGGGCCGAGUUGUCUCACGCGAUUAGCAUGCCAGCAUCAUAUUUUCUGUUGAAGAGAGAAAGAGAGAGAAAAAUGACUGUUGUUAAAUUUCUCCUUAAGAAGUUUUGUUAUUACGCACGGUGGGCCAUUUCAGUUCUCACGGUGUGUUCCCCAUGUGAUG